UACGGUCACAUCAUGUUGAAACUGUUGCUCCCGUACGAUCACCGAAGUUAAGCAACGUCGAGCCUGGUUAGUACCUAGAUGUGUGACCGUUUGUGAAUACCAGGUGCUGAAA
Acanthosepion pharaonis is the source of this 112-nucleotide non-coding RNA. The record is from the annotation of a GenBank genome assembly. Lineage: Eukaryota; Metazoa; Mollusca; Cephalopoda; Sepiida; Sepiidae.